Molecule: RNA transcript, 971 nt
Organism: Medicago truncatula (barrel medic)
Lineage: Eukaryota; Viridiplantae; Streptophyta; Magnoliopsida; Fabales; Fabaceae
Exons: 4
Source: RefSeq, a predicted model, not a curated record
UUUAUGUUAGCAGAAAUGUUAAUUCAUUGGUUUGACCAACUACCUAAUAACUACCCUUCUAAACGGACUUCCGGUUAUAAGCGCUUUUACGCAAAAGCUGUUUCAGCUGACUCACAUAAACCUCUUGUUGAUAAUAACCAAAAUACUCCCUCAUCAUCAUCUUCCAAAUUGUCCUUGUUCUUGGUGGUUCAGGCGGUGUUGGUUGUUUCUCGGAUGGCUAUACUGCAUCUGGCUGCGUGUUCAAUGACUAUACAGGUGUAACUACAUUCUCAGCUUGCAAAAAGGAACAAAUGACAGUUGAACCUACAAUUGCUGAAGCUCUUGGCAUCCGCUGGUGUAUGCAGCACGCGAAGGAUCAAAGAAUUAAAGAAAAGAAAUCAUUGUGCAGUCAGAUGUGUUGGUUGUAGUGGAAUGCAUUAGGGCAGAUUGUAAAGCUCUUAUGAAUGCCUUUAGUAAGACUGUAAUUACCAUGAUCAAUCAUGCAAUUGGAGCAUCUGGAGUCGUAACCAAGGAGUGCAACUUAGAUAUUGAUCAUGGUUGGCUUCUGGCACUGAAUGAAAGCGUGCAAGCACUGUUGGCCAUAUCAAACUGAAAUAUUGUUACUGUGUGAAGGCUUGUAAUUACAUAUAUGUAUUAUUGGACGAGCUGGGACAGAUUGGGAAGAGGUAAAAACAAAGGUGGCUUAGGAUUUAGAGGCUGUUAGUAUAGUGCAUUAUGCUUCUUCCUUUGCUGAAGUGUUCAAUGCAGCCUGUAGACGGCUUUGGGUGUUUUGAAGGUUAAUAUUGAUGUGGGAUGCUUUGAAGGCGGGCACACAUGUUGAGGUCUGAUCGUUAGCACCAUGACUGUGAUGGUGCUUAAAUUGGAUUGAUGAACAGAAACAGUUACAGACUAAUCCUGCUAUUGUAUCUCAUGUGAUUGUAGAAACUAACACAAGUAGUAUCCAAGGACAAGCAUUUGACUUUUAGGAAAAA